GAGGGUAUAGCUCAAGUGGUAGAGUGCAUGCUUAGCAUGCAUGAGGUCCUGAUUUCAAUCUCCAGUACCUCCU
Molecule: transfer RNA, 73 nt
Filed under: Camelus bactrianus (Bactrian camel)
Lineage: Eukaryota; Metazoa; Chordata; Mammalia; Artiodactyla; Camelidae
Also listed under: 2 other names
Rfam family: tRNA
About the family: Transfer RNA (tRNA) molecules are approximately 80 nucleotides in length. Their secondary structure includes four short double-helical elements and three loops (D, anti-codon, and T loops). Further hydrogen bonds mediate the characteristic L-shaped molecular structure. tRNAs have two regions of fundamental functional importance: the anti-codon, which is responsible for specific mRNA codon recognition, and the 3' end, to which the tRNAs corresponding amino acid is attached (by aminoacyl-tRNA synthetases). tRNAs cope with the degeneracy of the genetic code in two manners: having more than one tRNA (with a specific anti-codon) for a particular amino acid; and 'wobble' base-pairing, i.e. permitting non-standard base-pairing at the 3rd anti-codon position.
Source: Rfam by way of RNAcentral